GGGGCUAAUACCGGAUGUGGUCGACGGUUCGCAUGAACUGUUGAUUAAAGAUACGCAAGAGUCGUCUACAGAUGAGUUUGCGUCCCAUUAGCUAGUUGGUAGGGUAACGGCCUACCAAGGCUGUGAUGGGUAGCCGGCCUGAGAGGGUGACCGGCCACAUUGGGACUGAGAUACGGCCCAGACUCCUACGGGAGGCAGCAGUAGGGAAUUUUGCGCAAUGGGCGAAAGCCUGACGCAGCAACGCCGCGUGAGUGAUGACGGCCUUCGGGUUGUAAAGCUCUGUUGGACGGGAAGAAGAGGCGCGCGAAGAGCGCGUUAUGACGGUACCGUUCGAGGAAGCUCCGGCUAACUACGUGCCAGCAGCCGCGGUAAUACGUAGGGAGCGAGCGUUGUUCGGAAUUACUGGGCGUAAAGGGAGCGUAGGCGGGUUUGUAAGUUAGGGGUUUAAAGCGCGGGCUUAACCCGUGUAAGGCCUUUAAUACUGCAAGUCUUGAGUGUGGGAUAGGGCGAUGGAAUUCCAGGUGUAGCGGUGGAAUGCGUAGAUAUCUGGAAGAACACCGACAGCGAAGGCAGUCGCCUGGCCCGAUACUGACGCUGAAGCUCGAAAGUCGGGGGAGCAAACAGGAUUAGAUACCCUGGUAGUCCCGACCGUAAACGAUGAACACUAGAUGCCGGGAGAGUCAAUCCUUUCGGUGCCGAAGCUAACGCAUUAAGUGUUCCGCCUGGGGAGUACGCCCGCAAGGGUGAAACUCAAAGGAAUUGACGGGGGCCCGCACAAGCGGUGGAGCAUGUGCUUUAAUUCGAUGCAACGCGAAGAACCUUACCCAGGCUUGACAUGGGGGCGAAAGUCUGUAGAAAUACGGAACCUUCCGCAAGGAACGCCCUACACAGGUGCUGCAUGGUUGUCGUCAGCUCGUGUCGUGAGAUGUUGGGUUAAGUCCCGCAACGAGCGCAACCCUCGCCCUUAGUUGCCAACAGGUGAAGCUGGGAACUCUAAGGGGACUGCCUAGUUUAACUAGGAGGAAGGUGGGGAUGACGUCAAAUCCUCAUGGCCCUUACGCCUGGGGCUA
RNAcentral lists this ribosomal RNA (1070 nucleotides) under uncultured Chitinivibrionia bacterium. Its description in RNAcentral is "bacterial SSU rRNA". It matches the Rfam family "Bacterial small subunit ribosomal RNA", at positions 159 to 1216 of the family's 1533-position model. Lineage: Bacteria; Pseudomonadati; Fibrobacterota; Chitinivibrionia. The record is from RNAcentral.